This is an RNA transcript of Carlito syrichta (Philippine tarsier), 1386 nucleotides long. It is a transcript of the gene named rho-related GTP-binding protein RhoG-like, with no coding region annotated. The record is from RefSeq and is a predicted model, not a curated record. The transcript is spliced from 3 exons. Lineage: Eukaryota; Metazoa; Chordata; Mammalia; Primates; Tarsiidae.
AUGGGGCUGGAUGUCGGCAGUGGUGUGUUGCCGCCGCUGCAUCUGCUCUUCAGGGUUUGGAAGUCACUGACCAGGCCUAGCUGGGUCCCGGGAACGUAUUUCCACCAGUUUGCCUCACCAGUGCCCCUGCAGCACCAGCUCAGCCUGCCACAUCAGGAGGUCAACAAGGAUGGGGGCGGUGUGGAGGCCACAUUUCCUGCUGACGUCUGUGGCCGAUCAGACAGUAUCAUGCAACCCGAAAGUAUCAAGUGUGUGGUGGUGGGUGACAGGGCUGUAGGCAAGACGUGCCUGCUCAUCUGCUAUACAACCAACGCUUUUCCCAAGGAGUACAUCCCCAUGGUGUCUGACAAUUAUAGCGCCCAGAGUGCAGUUGAUGGGCGCACAGUGAAUCUGAACCUGUGGGACACUGCGGGCCAGGAGGAGUAUGAUUGCCUCUGCACACUCUCCUACCCUCAGACCAAUGUUUUUGUCAUCUGUUUCUCCAUUGCCAGUCUGCCCUCCUAUGAGAACGUGUGGCACAAGUGGCAUCCAGAAGUAUGCCACCGCUGCCUGACAUGCCCAUCCUCCUGGUGGGCACCAAGAAGGACCUGAGAGCCCAGCCUGAUACCCUAUGAUGCCUCAAGGAGCAGGGCCAGGUGCCCAUCACACAGCAGCAGGGCCAGGCACUGGCCAAGCAGAUCCACACUGUACACUACUACCUCGAAUGCUCAGCCCUGUAGCAGGAUGGUGUCAAGGAAGUAUUUGCUGAGGCUGUCCGGGCUGUGCUCAACCCCACGCCCAUCAAGCGUGGGUGGUCCUGCAUCCUUUUGUGACCCUGGCACUCAGCUUGGAGGCUGCCCUUGCCAUUCCCCCACCAGUUGUGCCUUGGCGCCUUGUCUACCCCAGCUGUGCCUUACGGACUAAUUCUGGCACCCCUUUCCAAGGGGCUCCCUGAAUGCCUUUUUCUCCGACUACCUUUUUCUUCAUAAAGAGGCCUGCAGAGAAAGGGGCUUUGGGCCCUGCUCCACUCUGCUUGGAAACACUAGUUAUUCUCAUGAGCUCACCCAAGCCAAGGAUGGACCCCUUCCCAAGAGGCCAAUCCAGUACCCCUUCCCUAUUUUCUGCUACUGACCAGUUCAUCCAGCUUUCCACAGUUGCUGCUGCCUAUUGUGGUGCCUCCUCUGGGGUUAGAGGCUCUCAGCCAUCUCUAACCUCUGCCCCUGCUGCUCUUGGAAUUGCACCCCUAAGAUGCUCUCUCCCUUCCUCCAGGAAGGAGUCACAGAAUCCUGAGAAGAUGAAUGUACCCUAACCUGCUUCCAUGUGCCCAGGCCUUAUACAUCUACUGACCGACUCAGCCCCUGUGGUCCUGGGGGCCUUUCUACUCCCAUCAAUAUCAAUAAAACCUCC